CGGGGUGUGGCGCAGCCUGGUAGCGCGCCUGCUUUGGGAGCAGGAUGUCGCAGGUUCGAAUCCUGUCACCCCGACCA
RNAcentral lists this transfer RNA (77 nucleotides) under Coriobacteriaceae bacterium. Its description in RNAcentral is "tRNA-Pro". It matches the Rfam family "tRNA". Rfam says of the family: Transfer RNA (tRNA) molecules are approximately 80 nucleotides in length. The record is from RNAcentral. Lineage: Bacteria; Bacillati; Actinomycetota; Coriobacteriia; Coriobacteriales; Coriobacteriaceae. RNAcentral also lists the same sequence under 2 other names.